UGGGGAAUUUUGGACAAUGGGCGCAAGCCUGAUCCAGCCAUGCCGCGUGCGGGAAGAAGGCCUUCGGGUUGUAAACCGCUUUUGUCAGGGAAGAAAUCUUCUGAGUUAAUACCUCGGGAGGAUGACGGUACCUGAAGAAUAAGCACCGGCUAACUACGUGCCAGCAGCCGCGGUAAUACGUAGGGUGCAAGCGUUAAUCGGAAUUACUGGGCGUAAAGCGUGCGCAGGCGGUUUUGUAAGACAGAGGUGAAAUCCCCGGCUCAACCUGGGAACUGCCUUUGUGACUGCAAGGCUUGAGUGCGGCAGAGGGGGAUGGAAUUCCGCGUGUAGCAGUGAAAUGUGUAGAUAUGCGGAGGAACACCGAUGGCGAAGGCAAUCCCCUGGGCCUGCACUGACGCUCAUGCACGAAAGCGUGGGGAGCAAACAGGAUUAGAUACCCUGGUAGUCCACGCCCUAAACGAUGUCAACUGGUUGUUGGGAAGGUUCCUUCUCAGUAACGUAGCUAACGCGUGAAGUUGACCGCCUGGGGAGUACGGCCGCAAGGUUGAAACUUAAAUGAAUUGACGGGG
This 569-nucleotide ribosomal RNA is filed under the name uncultured bacterium. RNAcentral describes it as "partial 16S ribosomal RNA". It matches the Rfam family "Bacterial small subunit ribosomal RNA", at positions 355 to 918 of the family's 1533-position model. The record is from RNAcentral.